UACGUAGGGUGCAAGCGUUGUCCGGAAUUAUUGGGCGUAAAGAGCUCGUAGGCGGUUUGUCGCGUCUGCUGUGAAAACGCGGGGCUCAACUCCGCGCCUGCAGUGGGUACGGGCAGACUAGAGUGCGGUAGGGGAGACUGGAAUUCCUGGUGUAGCGGUGAAAUGCGCAGAUAUCAGGAAGAACACCCGUGGCUAAGGCGGCUCUCUAGUACGGUACUGACGCUGAGACGCGAAAGCGUGGGGAGCGAACAGG
This 253-nucleotide ribosomal RNA is filed under the name uncultured bacterium. RNAcentral describes it as "partial 16S ribosomal RNA". It matches the Rfam family "Bacterial small subunit ribosomal RNA", at positions 524 to 776 of the family's 1533-position model. The record is from RNAcentral.